This is a non-coding RNA of Doryrhamphus excisus (bluestripe pipefish), 2760 nucleotides long. NCBI's taxonomy places the organism in Eukaryota, Metazoa, Chordata, Actinopteri, Syngnathiformes, Syngnathidae. The record is from RefSeq and is a predicted model, not a curated record.
ACAAAAUGUUCAAUGACGCGAACAAGUCAACAAUUCUAUGUUUUCCAGAUCUAUACUUCCUCAUCAGCUAACCUGCACGCGCUCACCCACGGGGGCAUUUACUGUACAAUAUAUUCACCCGGAAAUGUCGUCUUUAUGUUAUAUUAUAUGAUCUUAAAGCGUUUCUUGUGCAUAUACUGUUACAUUAUGUGUUAAAAGUUGUAAAAGUUAGACCGAAACUCGCCUACCUGUGACUUGGUUUGUCGUCCCGGAAGUAGCUGACCUGUCUGUCGGCAGCCAGCAACAAAAGAAACUUAUGGAUUCAAAAACGACGUCAAAAGACUCCAAAAAGAAGCAAAUAUCCGCGUCUUCCUGGUUCAAUCCAAACUGAAUUGUCUCAAAAGGAAAAAUAUCAGUGGUGCAGUGGUGGAAAAUGUUUGGAAAAGACCCCAGACCAGUUAAUUAAACAACUUUGCUAGCCGCCGCCAAGCUGAGGCCGAGUGAUGGCGAAUUCAAAGGGAGUCGACAAUGAUGCCAGAAAAGUGGCACUGAGUUUAACAGUGCACAGUCGCCCAUGAGCCAAGCAUGAUAUGGAAUACGGGUGAAAUAUCUCCAUUGGUGGCGGCGUGGCGCUUGAAGUCAACACAUGAAGCCAACGCGUCUCUACGUUUGGCAAAGGUCUGCUUCCACAGCAUUGAAUUUGGUCAUCUCAUCGGCAGCUGGGAAACUUGGAAGUGGGGUGAAAGGAGGGAGACAAGAUAAACACAGAGCUAACAAUGCGCCACAUCCUGGCCGUUGCCCGCGGCCCUUGUGUUUGAGCCCCCCGGUAUAUACCCUACAAACAAGACACACGUUGUUUGUCUUUCCUGGGAUCGGUAAACAUCCUCGACACAAACCAGUUCCUCUGCCGAGAGAAGAGGAGAGAAACUCGCACCAACGGGGGCAGCUGCACUCUCACUCCAGACACGCCUUUGAUGUGCUGCAGCCUCGGCUGAUCAUCAGCACGUCUUGCUGGAUAUCUUCAUGUCUUCUUACGCAACUUGACAUCUUCUCCUCUGUUUGUGCCUCCAAGACCAAAAAAAAGCACGGUGAUCUAAUGACUCCUCGUCUAUUUUUGGAUAAAAAGGUCCACGUGCUUUGUUUUGGUAAUGAAUUGGCGCCUUUGCAGCUGUCUCACACAAUCAAAGUGGAAGUACCACCACUCAUUGGUCAGGCUGGUGGUAGUCUACACUCCUGAUCAAAAGACACUUCACAGCGCUUGAAAAAUGGCAAGAAAGUCAAAAUAAGAAUACAAAUGUUGAUACGGAAAUUGGAUGUGGAUCAGCUUCAUCUUUUCAGUGUCUCGCUUAUUGUUACACUUGUAUGACUCGUAAGAAUGUUACAUUUUCUGAAUGUCCACACUCAUUUUACAUACUCCUUAACAAGAUAGGACUGAUUUUAGAUUGUUUUUAUAACAGUGUUUCACUUAUUUUUACAUUUGAAUGACUUGUAAGAAUGUUACAUUUUCCCAGCAUCCACACUCGUAUUAUAUACUCCUUAACUGAUAAUAAAAAGUUAAGACUGUUAAUAUUUUUUGUUGCUUUUUUUUCUCAUAACAGUGUCUCACAUACAGUAUUUUUACAUUUGUAUGCGUUGUAAGAAUGUUACAUUUUCCAACAUCUACACUCAUGUUAUAUACUCAGUAACUGAUAAUAAAAGGCUAAGACUGUUUAUUUUUAUUUUUUUUAUGUUUCUCAUAACGGUGUGUCACUUGGAUUUAUGCUUGUAUGACUCGUAAGAAUGUUACAUUUUCUGAAUGUCCACACUCGUUUUACAUACUCCUUAACAAGCUAGGACCGAUUUUAGAUUGUUUUUAUAACAGUGUUUCACUUAUUUUUACAUUUGAAUGACUUGUAAGAAUGUUAUAUUUUCCCAGCAGCCACACUCGUAUUAUAUACUCCUUAACUAAUAAUAAAAAGCUAAGACUGUUAAUUUUUUUUGUUGCUUUUUUGUUUCACAUAACUGUGUCUCACAUACAGUAUUUUUACAUUUGUAUGCGUCGUAAGAAUGUUACAUUUUCUGAAUGUCCACACUCAUUUUACAUAUUCCUUAACAAGCUAGGACUGAUUUUAGAUUUUUUAAAAUCAGCAUCAUAACAGUGUUUCACUUAUUUUUACAUUUGAAUGACUUGUAAGAAUGUUAUAUUUUCCCAGCAUCCACACUCAUAUUAUAUACUCCUUAACUGAUAAUAAAAAGCUAAGACUGUUAAUUUUUUUUGUUGCUUUUUUGUUUCUCAUAACAUUGUCUCACAUACAGUAUUUUUACAUUUGUAUGCUUUGUAAGAAUGUUACAUUUUCCAACAUCUACACUCAUGUUAUAUACUCAGUAACUGAUAAUAAAAAGCUAAGACUGUUUAUUGUCUUUUUUUUAUGUUUCUCAUAACGGUGUGUCACUUGGAUUUAUGCUUGUAUGACUCGUAAGAAUGUUACAUUUUCUGAAUGUCCACACUCAUUUUACAUAUUCCUUAACAAGCUAGGACUGAUUUUAGAUUUUUUAAAAUCAGCAUCAUAACAGCGUUUCACUUAUUUUUACAUUUGAAUGACUUGUAAGAAUGUUACAUUUUCCCAGCAUCCACACUCAUGAUAUAUACUCCUUAACUGAUAAUGCAAAGCUAAGACUGUUUAUUAUUUUUUUGCUUUUUUUUGUUUCUCAUAACAUUGUCUCACAUACAGUAUUUUUGCAUUUGUAUGCGUUGUAAGAAUGUUACAUUUUCCAACGUCUACACUCAUGUUAUAUACUCAG